Molecule: transfer RNA, 59 nt
Filed under: Macaca sylvanus (Barbary ape)
Lineage: Eukaryota; Metazoa; Chordata; Mammalia; Primates; Cercopithecidae
Description: tRNA-Ser(AGY)
Source: RNAcentral
GAGAAAACUUGCAAGGACCGCUAAUCCACACCUCCGUACUUAAAACUACGGUUUUCUCA